Long non-coding RNA from Parus major (Great Tit), 3036 nucleotides. RefSeq lists it as uncharacterized. The record is from RefSeq and is a predicted model, not a curated record. The transcript has 2 exons. NCBI's taxonomy places the organism in Eukaryota, Metazoa, Chordata, Aves, Passeriformes, Paridae.
GCGCGGGCGGUGCGGGCCUGUCCAGGCUGUGCGGGACGGCGGGCGCGGAGCGACGGGACUGUGCGGGCCAGGGAAACAAAAGGCUCGUUCCGCGGCCGAGGGGCUGGGAACGCGCGGGACUAGGGUGGGAUCCGUUAGUUCAAUCCGACAUGAGCACUGUGACUCUGAACCCGUGUGAUCCAGCGCCAGAUCCAGAUGCUUAUUGAGCACGUCCAGGGAUGAUGACUCCAUUACCUCCCUAGGCUGUUUCCCCUGGUCUUGGCACUGCAGGCACAGCAGAAGAGACCAGUCGGCGCCUUACUACGCUCUCCCUUCAGGUAUUGAUAGAACAAGUGGAAACGGUUUUGUCAAGGGAGGAUUAGACUGGAUAUUAGGGAAAAAUACUUCACUUAGAGGUUGGUCAAGCACUGGAACAGGCUUCUGGGGCAACGGUGGACUCGCCAUCCGUGAAAGUGUUCAAAAACCGUGGAUGUGGUGCAUGAGGACAUGGUUUCAUGGUGGACUUGUCAGUGUUAAAUUGAUAGUUGAACUCGAUGAUCUUGGUGAUAUUUUUCAACUUUAAUGAUUCUGAUUCUAUUCUAAAAAUAAAUUUUAAAAAUACAUCCUGGUAGGUGGUACUGUUUAGCUUUUAACUGUGACUGCAUUGCUACUUACUCUGUACUUCCCUGAAAGUAUGUCUUUCAUGUUAUUCAAGUUUGUAAGCUCUCAACCCCUUCUGCAAACCUAUACCUACCUUCAUCAUCAACCAUUUUUCUCCUUUAAGCGGGUUUGUUUGGUACAUCAGCUUCACUUUACACCGAAGUACCUCUGGGAUCAUAUAUUUGUCAUUACCAGGCAAUGCAAUAGGUAGAUAUCGUUCGAUUUUUUUUUUCCCUCCCCAGUGUUAACAGAGCUGACAAAUAGCAGCACGUUUACACUUGCAUGUUUCUCUACAGUUCUCAGAAAGCAUCUAAACAUUCAGGUUUUCAAAGCUUUGCAUUACCCAAAAGUAUUUAGUGAAUUUUUCCUGAGGCCAGUAAAACAAACUACUGCUACUACUUUCACAGCUCUCAAGCUCUUUUUAUCUACUGGAAUUGUUUCAUGUCUUUCCUUCUGAGGGCUAACUCUGCUUCCAACUUACAGUAUUAAGAUAUAUGGAAUUAUGCUGGUUUUGUGCCCAGGGUCACAGUGAAAAGAGAAGUUGGCUCUAGCCCUCAGUUUAUACCAUUGGAAUACAUCCAUUUACUGCUGUUUUUCUGCUUUAAGAAAUUGUAAUUUCAAAGAAUGUUGUAGGCUGCUCUUUCUGUGAGUUUCCCUUUACUGCUUCUUGCUUUCCCUCACAGAUUUCUAAGCAAAAUAAUUUUAAAACAGCCUUGUCACUGCAGUAGUAGCAAUAAGCCUAAAUAUAGAAGUGCAGUGUAAAUAUUUAUAAGAUUCCCUUUAUGAGGCAAGCUUUUCUAAGUGCCUUCCAGGGCAGCAGCAUGUGUGGGGGGGUGCGGGGACUAGAAGGACAGCUGUGCUAAGAAUUUCACUCAGGAGGGGAUAAUGUGUCUACAACACUCUUUCAGGAGGUUUAUUUUGGUGAGAACAGUUUUAAAUUUGAAAAAGAUUCUGCAGAGAAAGAGCUCUUAGUAAUAUCAGCUUAGUAAUAUCAGAGCUGUUAUCUCUGCACCCAACACACCUUUUCUGCUUACUUUGCAGACAAGGUUGCCAUCCCAAGUCAGUUGGUGCUGGAGGUUUUACACAUCACCUUGUGUCAGUUCUUAAGCAUUGGAAGUCAACUCCCUGUCAUGCUACAUAUAUUGCUUUUCUGCUUUUCAUACACUUGCCACGCUGGCAAGGAAGUUGUGGGUGCAUGGCAGCUGGGAGGAGACCCAACCAGGACAGGCAACACCAACUGACUAAAGGGGUAUUCCAGAGCACGUGACAUCGGGCUCAGUACAUAAAAUAGAGAUAAGAAAGAAGAGGAGGAAGGAGAACAUUCAGAGUGAUGGCAUGAUUUUUCCCAAGUCACCAUUACAAAUGAUGGGACCCACUCUCCUGAAGAUGGCUGAACAACUACAUUCCCUUGGGAAGCGGUGAAUUGAUUCCUUGUUUUGCUUGUGUACAUGGUUUUUGCUUUUCCUAUUGAAUUGUCUAUAUCUGAGCCCAGGAGUUUUCUGGCUUUUACCGUUCCAAUCCUCUCCCUAGUCCUGCCAGUGGGGCAUUAAGCAGGCAGGUGCCUGGGGCUUGUCUCCUAGCUCAACUUGUAAGCCAUGACAUCCUGUCAGCCCAACGCUCCUUUACCUUUAGUAGCAUACCAAAAAGUGCUACAUGAUUGCUUUACUAGUCUUUCAUAAUGUCUGUGAUCCUUUUAUUAAAAUUUCAUGUUAUUGUCUGUGUAUAAAUGCAAGAGAAACUUUUUUUUUUUUAUGUUUACCUGUAUUUAUUUAUGCCUUCAUAGAAAGCAUGUUUGGAUUCUCCCAUAAGCCUGUAUAUACUGACUCCAUGUAUAGAUACACUGAACAAUUGUGUUACAUUUUAAGCAGCACUAAAAUUAUCCUCAUCUUUGGAAGCUGAUGUGUUAUUUAUUGAGGUUUUUCAGUAAGAAUAAAUGAAAAACUGAGUUGCAAAGGACAGCUUUUUUUUUUUUUUUCAAUUUUAAACAUGAAAAUAUUUCUAUGCAAUAAUUUUCAUGCUUAGUUAAUUGCAUCUAAGUUCCAUAAGGGUUCUAAGUAAUGAUGGAGCUUAGGUUUCUGCUGUGUACCGCUGGCUUGUUGAUGGACAAAAGUUACAUGUUGACAAACGUCUUUGUAUUUUUGUAGCUGCUUAGAUAUCUUGGAUGAUUGUAUAGAUGCUUCUACAGCAGCUAGGAAAGGAAAAAAAGCAUGAUUAGAAUGAACAAACAGGAAAAUAUAGCUACACUCUUAAUAACUACAGAACUUCCUCUGAGACCGGUGAUGUAACCUGUGCAGGAUAAACCCAGAUGUUGCAUGGAAGACUGUAUUUCAUUUUAAAUUUGGGUAAUUUUUUGUGCUGUUUACUCUGAAAUUUUUAAAUAAACAGUCAGUAACACCA